CAGCAGCCGCGGUAAUACGAAGGGGGCUAGCGUUGCUCAGAAUGACUGGGCGUAAAGGGCGCGUAGGCGGAUGGCACAGUCAGAUGUGAAAUUCCCGGGCUUAACCUGGGGGCUGCAUUUGAUACGUGUUGUCUAGAGUGAGGAAGAGGGUCGUGGAAUUCCCAGUGUAGAGGUGAAAUUCGUAGAUAUUGGGAAGAACACCGGUGGCGAAGGCGGCGACCUGGUCCAUUACUGACGCUGAGGCGCGAAAGCGUGGGGAGCAAACAGGAUUAGAUACCCUAGUAGUCCCUGUCUCUUAUAC
RNAcentral lists this ribosomal RNA (301 nucleotides) under uncultured bacterium. Its description in RNAcentral is "partial 16S ribosomal RNA". It matches the Rfam family "Bacterial small subunit ribosomal RNA", at positions 509 to 807 of the family's 1533-position model. The record is from RNAcentral.